Vigna angularis (adzuki bean) is the source of this 1479-nucleotide long non-coding RNA. RefSeq lists it as uncharacterized. The record is from RefSeq and is a predicted model, not a curated record. The transcript is spliced from 9 exons. NCBI's taxonomy places the organism in Eukaryota, Viridiplantae, Streptophyta, Magnoliopsida, Fabales, Fabaceae.
GUAUCACUUUUCUCCCUCCCUCCCUCGAGCCAAGUUUCUCCCCUUCUCGAGCCCUAGCUAUUCGUCCUUCUCCACUCGUACGUAUGCCUCGUUCUCGUCAUUAAUCUUCCUCACUCACUGCAACCUUCUCCCUCGUUCAGGCUUAUUCUCCCUCAUGGAGCGUUAUUCUGUAUGCUACUGCAACCUUCUCCCUCGUUGAACCUCUCUCAAAGGCUAACUUGAAGUCUCCUCUGUCGAACGCAGUGAAAGGCUCUUCUAUCGAACACACUAAAGGGCUUGGAAGCAUUUUCCCUAAAUGUGGUUGUGCGUCGUUGCCUUCCGAAACAAUCUCGUUCAGCAAACAUUGUAGGACGACCUCCGUGGUUAGUUGAAACCUUCAUCUGGUUGGAAAUCCCGAAUUUUGAAACCCUAGGUUGGUUUGUUCCCGUUGGAAGAGAUAAGGUGGAGCUCCAAUUGCCUUCUGCACCUUCCAGAGAGAAUCAAGCCGUCAGAUGUAGGUCUUGAACAAGAAGCACAAUUAGUUCGGAAUUGGCCUGGUCCAGCACUUGAACGUAAUGGGAGCCAUCAAUCCUUGCCACCUAUAAAAUAUUUGCAUUUACAUGAAUGUGACUCCUUCUCUAUAGGAAUUUUUUGCAUGCCCCCCUCGUCUAUCAUUCCUCUCCAUAAUCAUCCUGGAAUGACAGUGUUGAGCAAGUUGUUGUAUGGCUCAAUGCAUGUUAAAUCCUAUGAUUGGAUCGAUGCAUCUGGCUCUCAUGAUCAAUCUGAAGGUUCGUGUCGCAUCUGUAGAAGCACUGGGGCAGAUGGUAGGUCUCAUAACACGAGUACAGUUAAAGACUUCCCUACCAAGUCUUAUCCCUACAAUAUUGGACUUCUAUGGUUGCAGAUAUGGCAACAGUGAGGUAUCUCCCAAGUUUGGCAUCAGCAAGGAAGCCACCAACAAGGCCAAGAAGGUGGGCUUUGAGAUGAUUGAUGCAUUUGCUGAAUCUUAGGGGAUUCCUAUGAACACUUCCUAUUCCAAAGCCAUUUUCGGAAAAGUUGGUUUGUUGCAGGUUUUGUUGGUGAAGUUCUUGUCUUCCUUGCAAAGCCUCCUCGGACUUACAUGAAUCUGAGUGGUGAAUUAGUCAAUUGCAGCAGAAAACAAUUUCCCAUCCACCUUGCAGUGCAUUUUUGGUUGCAUUUAUGGUACUAGGAUAUCCUCUUAUUUAAUGAUUGAGCUUAUAUUUGCUAAUUAAUGUUUUUUGUUGUUCUGAAAACUUGUAACUCCUUUGUUGCAAAGUUGAUUGCUUAAGAAUUGGCCAGUGUAGUUAAGAUUUUGCACAUGCACUAUAGUAAUGAGACUUGUGCACUUGAAUUUGCAGCUUCAUGGUAUAUAGUUUAUAUGAUUAUUGUACAUAUGAAUAUAUUAUCUUAUAAUUUGUCUCACUUUUCUUUGAGGUUGCUUGAUUUUUUUCUUCUAUUCUUUAAGUUGUUGAAAUAGAU